GACGAACGCUGGCGGCGUGCUUAACACAUGCAAGUCGAACGAAGAGCGACGGAAGCUUGCUUCUAUCAAUCUUAGUGGCGAACGGGUGAGUAACGCGUAAUCAACCUGCCCUUCAGAGGGGGACAACAGUUGGAAACGACUGCUAAUACCGCAUACGAUCUAACCUCGGCAUCGAGGAUAGAUGAAAGGUGGCCUCUACAUGUAAGCUAUCACUGAAGGAGGGGAUUGCGUCUGAUUAGCUAGUUGGGGGGGUAACGGCCCACCAAGGCGAUGAUCAGUAGCCGGUCUGAGAGGAUGAACGGCCACAUUGGGACUGAGACACGGCCCAGACUCCUACGGGGGGCAGCAGUGGGGAAUCUUCCGCAAUGGACGAAAGUCUGACGGAGCAACGCCGCGUGAGUGAUGACGGCCUUCGGGUUGUAAAGCUCUGUUAAUCGGGACGAAAGGCCUUCUUGCGAAUAGUGAGAAGGAUUGACGGUACCGGAAUAGAAAGCCACGGCUAACUACGUG
This 510-nucleotide ribosomal RNA is filed under the name uncultured bacterium. Its description in RNAcentral is "partial 16S ribosomal RNA". It matches the Rfam family "Bacterial small subunit ribosomal RNA", at positions 28 to 507 of the family's 1533-position model. The record is from RNAcentral.